GACGAACGCUGGCGGCGUGCUUAACACAUGCAAGUCGAACGGAAAGGCCCUGCUUUUGUGGGGUGCUCGAGUGGCGAACGGGUGAGUAACACGUGAGUAACCUGCCCUUGACUUUGGGAUAACUUCAGGAAACUGGGGCUAAUACCGGAUAGGAGCUCCUGCUGCAUGGUGGGGGUUGGAAAGUUUCGGCGGUUGGGGAUGGACUCGCGGCUUAUCAGCUUGUUGGUGGGGUAGUGGCUUACCAAGGCUUUGACGGGUAGCCGGCCUGAGAGGGUGACCGGCCACAUUGGGACUACGAUACGGCCCAGACUCCUACGGGAGGCAGCAGUGGGGAAUAUUGCACAAUGAGCGGAAGCCUGAUGCAGCAACGCCGCGUGCGGGAUGACGGCCUUCGGGUUGUCAACCGCUUUCGCCUGUGACGAAGCGUGAGUGACGGUACUGGGUAAAGAAGCACCGGCUAACUACGUG
This 468-nucleotide ribosomal RNA is filed under the name uncultured bacterium. RNAcentral's name for it is "partial 16S ribosomal RNA". It matches the Rfam family "Bacterial small subunit ribosomal RNA", at positions 28 to 507 of the family's 1533-position model. The record is from RNAcentral.